GACGAACGCUGGCGGCGUGCUUAACACAUGCAAGUCGAACGAUGAAGCGGUGCUUGCACCGUGGAUUAGUGGCGAACGGGUGAGUAAUACGUGAGUGACCUACCUUUGACUCUGGGAUAAGCCUGGGAAACUGGGUCUAAUACCGGAUACGACCAAUCUCUGCAUGGGGUGUUGGUGGAAAGCGUUAUGGAGUGGUUUUAGAUGGGCUCACGGCCUAUCAGCUUGUUGGUGAGGUAAUGGCUUACCAAGGCGACGACGGGUAGCCGGCCUGAGAGGGUGACCGGCCACACUGGGACUGAGACACGGCCCAGACUCCUACGGGAGGCAGCAGUGGGGAAUAUUGCACAAUGGGCGCAAGCCUGAUGCAGCGACGCCGCGUGAGGGAUGACGGCCUUCGGGUUGUAAACCUCUGUUAGCAUCGAAGAAGCGAAAGUGACGGUAGGUGCAGAGAAAGCGCCGGCUAACUACGUGCCAGCAGCCGCGGUAAUACGUAGGGCGCGAGCGUUGUCCGGAAUUAUUGGGCGUAAAGAGCUUGUAGGGCGGUUGGUCGCGUCUGCUGUGAAAGGCCGGGGCUUAACUCCGGUUUUGCAGUGGGUACGGGCUAACUAGAGUGCAGUAGGGGAGACUGGAAUUCCUGGUGUAGCGGUGGAAUGCACAGAUAUCAGGAGGAACACCGAUGGCGAAGGCAGGUCUCUGGGCUGUAACUGACGCUGAGAAGCGAAAGCAUGGGGAGCGAACAGGAUUAGAUACCCUGGUAGUCCAUGCCGUAAACGUUGGGCACUAGGUGUGGGGGACAUUCCACGUUUUCCGCGCCGUAGCUAACGCAUUAAGUGCCCCGCCUGGGGAGUACGGCCGCAAGGCUAAAACUCAAAGGAAUUGACGGGGGCCCGCACAAGCGGCGGAGCAUGCGGAUUAAUUCGAUGCAACGCGAAGAACCUUACCAAGGCUUGACAUGCAUUAGAUCGCGUCAGAGAUGGCGUUUCCCUUCGGGGCUGGUGUACAGGUGGUGCAUGGUUGUCGUCAGCUCGUGUCGUGAGAUGUUGGGUUAAGUCCCGCAACGAGCGCAACCCUCGUUCUAUGUUGCCAGCGGUUCGGCCGGGGACUCAUAGGAGACUGCCGGGGUCAACUCGGAGGAAGGUGGGGAUGACGUCAAAUCAUCAUGCCCCUUAUGUCUUGGGCUUCACGCAUGCUACAAUGGCCGGUACAGAGGGUUGCGAUACUGUGAGGUGGAGCUAAUCCCUUAAAGCCGGUCUCAGUUCGGAUUGGGGUCUGCAACUCGACCCCAUGAAGUCGGAGUCGCUAGUAAUCGCAGAUCAGCAACGCUGCGGUGAAUACGUUCCCGGGCCU
RNAcentral lists this ribosomal RNA (1347 nucleotides) under uncultured bacterium. Its description in RNAcentral is "bacterial SSU rRNA". It matches the Rfam family "Bacterial small subunit ribosomal RNA", at positions 28 to 1381 of the family's 1533-position model. The record is from RNAcentral.